This 562-nucleotide ribosomal RNA is filed under the name uncultured bacterium. RNAcentral describes it as "bacterial SSU rRNA". It matches the Rfam family "Bacterial small subunit ribosomal RNA", at positions 338 to 916 of the family's 1533-position model. The record is from RNAcentral.
CCUACGGGAGGCAGCAGUUAGGAAUCUUGGACAAUGGGCGCAAGCCUGAUCCAGCCAUGCCGCGUGAGUGAUGAAGGCCUUAGGGUUGUAAAGCUCUUUCAGCGGGGAAGAUAAUGACGGUACCCGCAGAAGAAGCCCCGGCUAACUUCGUGCCAGCAGCCGCGGUAAUACGAAGGGUGCAAGCGUUACUCGGAAUUACUGGGCGUAAAGCGUGCGUAGGUGGUUUGUUAAGUCUGAUGUGAAAGCCCUGGGCUCAACCUGGGAAUGGCAUUGGAUACUGGCGAGCUAGAGUGCGGUAGAGGGUAGUGGAAUUCCCGGUGUAGCAGUGAAAUGCGUAGAGAUCGGGAGGAACAUCUGUGGCGAAGGCGACUACCUGGACCAGCACUGACACUGAGGCACGAAAGCGUGGGGAGCAAACAGGAUUAGAUACCCUGGUAGUCCACGCCCUAAACGAUGCGAACUGGAUGUUGGGUGCAAUUAGGCACUCAGUAUCGAAGCUAACGCGUUAAGUUCGCCGCCUGGGGAGUACGGUCGCAAGACUGAAACUCAAAGGAAUUGACGG